Molecule: transfer RNA, 73 nt
Filed under: Caudoviricetes sp.
Lineage: Duplodnaviria; Heunggongvirae; Uroviricota; Caudoviricetes
Description: tRNA-Met
Source: RNAcentral
CCCCCUAUAGCUCAAUCGGCAGAGCAGCUUGCUCAUAACAAGAAGGUUACAGGAUCAUACCCUGUUAGGGGGA